GAUGAACGCUGGCGGCGUGCUUAACACAUGCAAGUCGAACGGAAAGGCUCCUGCUUGCAGGGGUACUCGAGUGGCGAACGGGUGAGUAACACGUGGGUGAUCUGCCCUGCACUUCGGGAUAAGCCUGGGAAACUGGGUCUAAUACCGGAUAGGACCACAUUUUGGAUGGUGUGGUGGAAAGUUUUUCGGUGUGGGAUGAGCUCGCGGCCUAUCAGCUUGUUGGUGGGGUAAUGGCCUGCCAAGGCGUCGACGGGUAGCCGGCCUGAGAGGGUGUACGGCCACAUUGGGACUGAGAUACGGCCCAGACUCCUACGGGAGGCAGCAGUGGGGAAUAUUGCACAAUGGGCGCAAGCCUGAUGCAGCGACGCCGCGUGGGGGAUGACGGCCUUCGGGUUGUAAACUCCUUUCGCUAGGGACGAAGCGCAAGUGACGGUACCUGGAGAAGAAGCACCGGCUAACUACGUG
RNAcentral lists this ribosomal RNA (465 nucleotides) under uncultured bacterium. Its description in RNAcentral is "partial 16S ribosomal RNA". It matches the Rfam family "Bacterial small subunit ribosomal RNA", at positions 28 to 507 of the family's 1533-position model. The record is from RNAcentral.